Molecule: ribosomal RNA, 564 nt
Filed under: Streptomyces sp. 384C05
Lineage: Bacteria; Bacillati; Actinomycetota; Actinomycetes; Kitasatosporales; Streptomycetaceae
Also listed under: 1 other name
Description: bacterial SSU rRNA
Rfam family: Bacterial small subunit ribosomal RNA
Source: RNAcentral
UAGUGGCGAACGGGUGAGUAACACGUGGGCAAUCUGCCCUUCACUCUGGGACAAGCCCUGGAAACGGGGUCUAAUACCGGAUAUGAGCCUGGGAGGCAUCUCCCGGGUUGUAAAGCUCCGGCGGUGAAGGAUGAGCCCGCGGCCUAUCAGCUUGUUGGUGAGGUAAUGGCUCACCAAGGCGACGACGGGUAGCCGGCCUGAGAGGGCGACCGGCCACACUGGGACUGAGACACGGCCCAGACUCCUACGGGAGGCAGCAGUGGGGAAUAUUGCACAAUGGGCGAAAGCCUGAUGCAGCGACGCCGCGUGAGGGAUGACGGCCUUCGGGUUGUAAACCUCUUUCAGCAGGGAAGAAGCGAGAGUGACGGUACCUGCAGAAGAAGCGCCGGCUAACUACGUGCCAGCAGCCGCGGUAAUACGUAGGGCGCAAGCGUUGUCCGGAAUUAUUGGGCGUAAAGAGCUCGUAGGCGGCUUGUCACGUCGAUUGUGAAAGCCCGAGGCUUAACCUCGGGUCUGCAGUCGAUACGGGCUAGCUAGAGUGUGGUAGGGGAGAUCGGAAUUCCU